GGAAGAUUAGCUCAGUUGGUCAGAGUAUGAUGCUAAAAACACCAAGACUGUGGGUUCAAUCCCUGUGCGGACCA
Molecule: non-coding RNA, 74 nt
Organism: Lamprotornis superbus
Lineage: Eukaryota; Metazoa; Chordata; Aves; Passeriformes; Sturnidae
Source: the annotation of a GenBank genome assembly